CAGAUCCACGUCUUACAAACAUCAUAAAGUCUUACAUAAAUGCAGCGGAAAACAGAAGAAACUGGAGCUAAGCCUUGACUAAACUGCAGCGGGAACACCACUCCACAGGCAUCCUCGACGGCACGGACGAAGCCUACUCCUCAGAGAAACCUUCAUCUGACCCGAACUCGAACUCUGGGGUUGGGAAAAGUAGAGCAAGACUGAGUACUACCCACUGUACUCAGCAAGUCAUACCGGAAUAGGGGUAUGAUGCAGGGAAUCAUCAAAGAAGAGCUAAAGUGGUUCAUUUGCAUAAAGCGAGCAUUUAUAAACAGAGAUUGAAAGAUUUAAACAGUUGUAAUAAUUAAGCAGUAUUAAUCAUCCACUGUCCAACGCUACACCACGUUGCAACAGGCCCAACCAACCACCUAUACCAUCCAAAUUCAUUAGACUAAACUAAUGUGAGUCUAAUCACGGUGAAUCUGGUUGACCGCCCAUAACCGCGGGCACGGCUAUUCGAAUAGUUUUACUCUGAUCAGAGGUGUACAACUGUACCCACAAGACACAGCCCCACGACACGUUUCCGUGCGCCGACAUGCCACCACGACAUACCGGAAAGAGGCCGUGAUAGGACCCUUCGCAUAACCCCCUCUAGCCAAGCACACCACACCUCAGGUUUCACCCCCGUCCCCAGCGGGCAACGGGCAGUCCCCUCUCGUGCCUAGGUGAAUCCGGAAGCGACAGAGGCCGUCGCAGGGCCCGCCCCGCUCCAUCACGCCCACCCUUGCCUGGAUGCGUCGACUAGAGGAAAGCUACACUACAAGCCCAGCCGUUGCCCACGCUGGCUUGUGGUAAGUACGAUAAAUUCUUCCAGGGCAUCCCGCGAACCGGUCCUUAACUGCCAUGGGUGCGACCAGCAAAACCAUGCACCCACAGCCCACCAUGUGAUUCAUUUUAAUUAACCAACACCAAAGCGGUGUCACUAAUCCAACAUUACCAUUAGAACUAACAGUCUAAACAUUAAUAUGAUUUUCCCCAUUGUGAACUAGUUGAACUAAGCAUGGCUAAGCAAACCCUAGUCCUAACUCUAAUCAGGUUAUAACCCAAGCUAACAAAGGAGCAUGGUAUCAAAAUAGCAUGGCUGUAACAAUAGGUAACCAUCCCAUAGUGAUAUUGCAAAACAAAUGCGGUAUUUGAAAGAAAACAUUAGGACAUUUGCAAUAUAGGAUCAAUAUGAUCAAGUGACAAGCAUGACUUGCCUUGCUCUGCUGCUGGAGGGACCUCGGCGACUAUCUCGAAGUACACCGGAGCGUCGGAGAAAUCGGAAUCUAGCGACAUACAAAGCAAACAUUGCAAACAGGCUAUAAGACUACUGAAACAGAGAAGAAAACCAUUUUUAAUGGAUUCUACACAUUUUUCUUGAUUUACUGAGACUUGAAUGGGAUUAAACGGAGCUCGGAUGAAUUAGUUAUGAAUUUUAGAAGAUUCACUGUGUUUAUUACUAUAACAAAAAUCCUUAAAUAAUUUAUUGCGCAAUAUUAACCAGGGCUGACGUCAGCACGGGGGGAGUGCGGCGCCGACAAGCGGGGCCCACCGGUCAGCGGCCCGGGAGAGAGAGAAAGGGGGCGGCGGCUCGCGGGCCCACUGGUCAGCGGCUCGGGAGGGAAAGAAAGGGGCGGCGGCACCCGGCUCGGCCCGGCUCAAGGCCGGCCGACCGGCCGCGGCGACGGCGACGGCGCGCGCGCGAACGCGUUGCCGGCGACGGCAACCGGUGGCGGGGCGACGGCGCAAAAGGCGAUGCGGAGGCGGCUGCGCUAGCAGCGGCUAGGAAGGGGAGGGAACGGGCGGCGAUAAAGGCGGCCGCCGGCGCGGCUCGGCAUCAAAGCCGACCGGCCGGCUGGGUCUAACGGCGACGGCACGCGGCCGACGACGGCGGCUACCGGCGGCACGGGAGGCGGCGGCGGCAGUCGAAGGCGACGGCGCGCGACUCGAAGCGGCGGCGUGGCACUAGGAGGAGAGGAAGGGGAAAAGAAGGGAGGGGAUGCCUCACCGAGGGUGGCCGGCGCGGAGGAAGACGAUGGCGAACGGCGACGGCAACCACGAGAGGACGACGUCGGCGGGCGGACGAGCUUCGGGGUGCCCUAAGGAAGGAGAAGAGAGGGAUUAGAGAGAGGGAGAUGGACCACGGCGACCGGAACCCAUGGCCGAAGGCGGCGGUAGAGAUGGCGCUCACCCGUGCGCGUGGGGAUGAGGGCUCCGGCGACGAACCUCGACGGAGGAGGGGUGGACGAGGUAGAUCUCGACCCCGCGAACCCGACGGCGACGACGGCGCGGUGCGGCGGCGAUCCUAGCGGCGGCUAGCGGCGGCCGAAGUAGCGGGAAGAAGCGGCGGUGGGUGGGUGCACGGCGCGGGGACGAUGGGGAGCACGGGAGGGGUCGGCGAAAUGGGGAAAAAGGGAGAGGGGGUGCCGGCGAUGCUUAAAUAAGGGGAGAGGAGGCCGGACGUGGCCGGGAGCGGCGGGAAUCGCCGGCCGACGUGGGGAGUGGGGAGGAGAGAGAGGCGGGAUUCGAUUUUCGAAUCCCGGCCAUCUCGGGCGCGGACGCGAGCGGGAGAGAGAGGGGAAUGGGCGCGGGAGAUUCGGCGCACGCGCGGGCGUGGUCGACGUGGCCCGGGGGAGGCGGAGACGUGGGCGCGGCGACGGUUGCGGGCGCGGCGGCGCGCCGGGAUCGGCGGGAGGAGGGAGACGGGCCCGACAGGUGGGCCCCACCUGUCGGCAAUCCCGAGAGAGGAGGCAGCGGGGCGGCCUGGCUGCCGGGCUGGGCCUCGGCCUGCGGCCGGCCCAACAGAGAGGGGGAGGGAGGAAAGGAGAAAUGGGCCGACGGCCCAUUUGACAAAAAGGAGGAAAAAAGAGAGGAAAAAGAAAAAGAAAAAGGAAAAAGGAUUUUCCCUGGAAUAAAAUAUUGCUUGCUCAAUUUUAAUUGGUUGAAAUUAUUUCUAGAGCUCUGAAAAUUCCGCUAAAAAUCCUGUUAAUGAAUUUCGACAUGUAGAACUCAAGGAAAAUUCCACAUGUCAAAUCCGAUUAUUAUUUGCAUUAUUUUCUUAGGGUUUUCUCCUGAUUUCACCUGCAAUUUCUUGGGGUCAUUUGUAAAUUACAAUUUUGGCUUGGGAGAAAAACUUCGGGGUGUGACACAGGACCAGCCAGGGUACACAAAACGACAAGUAAUAUACAAUUCCAAACGUAAAUAAAGCGUAAAAUACUUACAAAAGAGGCACUUAGUCCUCGCACCGAAACGAAAGCAGCAGCAGCGGAAAGAGGCUAUCCUAGCGGGGCUUCAGCUCCACUCCACAGGCAAAACUCAACUGGGGUCUGAGCCUUGGUCCUCUAACUUCGUCUUCAGCUCAGAAGUACUACACUUCUGAAAAGGGGGAAUAAAAGCAAGACUGAGUACAACCACCGUACUCAGCAAGCCACACCAACGAUGCAGACGUGCAAGGGGAUACAAGGAGGGGUUUGUGGCUAUUUGCAUAAAGGCGGUUGUAAAACAUUUUGCUGUGCAAAACAGUAAAACUGUUGAAUAAUUAAGGUAAAUUAGAUCUCCACUGAUCAACGCUACACCAUGUUGAACAGGCCCAACCAACCCACCUAUACUACAGUGCAUUGGGUCGAUUUAUUAAGUGUGAGACUAAUCACGGUGAAUCUGGUCGAUCGCCCAUAACCGCGGGCACGGCUAUUCGAAUAGUUUUACUCUGGCCAGAGGUGCACAACUGUACCCACAAGACACAACCCACCGACAUGUCACCGCGUCAUCAUGUGCCCAUGAUGCACACGUCACCAUGUCGAGUGAUUGUGACGAGACCCUUCGCAUAACCCUCCCCUAACCAUCCACACCACGCUAAGGUUUCACCCCCACCCCUCAAAAGGCAGUGGGCGGUCCCCUCUUGCGCCGCGGUGAAUCCGGCAGCUGGACAACCGGACACCCCGGCUGACCCAACUCCAUCAUGCCCACCCUCGCCACCGGUGCGUAGGAAAGGGUCGAGCUAUACUUCAGAUCAAGCAGUUACCCACUCCCGCUUGUGGCAAGCGUUGUAAGUCUUCCAGGGUUUCCCGUGAACCGGUCCUUAAUUGCCAUGGGUGCGACUCACAAAACCAUGCACCCACAGCCCACCAUUCAGUCGCAUUUUAGUUGGAUAAUUACGACCAUGAAACAUGGCCAGAUGUCUCGAGCACGCAGCUCAACAAGAUACUAGAAUGUCUAAUACUGCAAUUAUCCCAUCGACUGAGCUAGUGGUAAUUAAACAUGGCUAAGCAUAUAGUUCUAGCUAGGUCAUCAAAGUAACACAAGCUAGGCGAUUUAUUACCCAUGGUUGACAAAGGACAGAUAUCAAGUAAACAUGGCACAAGCGAGCAGAUAGGUAAAAUCCUGACCCCAUGUAAUUAGCAAAACAUGCAUAUUUAUUUGCAAACAGUAAAACAUUUGUAAAUUGGGAUCAACAUGCUCAAGGGGAAUGUGUGACUUACCUUGCUUCUUCAAACAAUCUUCCGAACUCUUAUCCUUGCGACCGUGAUCUUCCGAAACGACGGAUUCUACACGCUGGCACGCAAAACAAGGAAAAGCCUAAUAAAAACCAAGGAAAAAGUACAUAAAAAGUAAACAAACAUGUAGAGCUCAAUUUUAGAUAAAUUUUGCAAGCUGAACGGCUCAAUUUGGAGUUCGAAUGAAUUAGAUAUGAAUUUUAGAAGUUUUGAGCCAUUUAAAUGAAUUUCUAUAAUUAUUAACGAAUUAUGACGCAAUUAUUAUUUAUUUUUCCAAAGGAAAAGAGGGUUGCUGACGUCAUCAAAGGGGAGGGGCGGCGCCGGCAAGCGGGCCCCACCGGUCAGCGGCACAAGGGCGCCGGUCCACCGUGGACCGAGACCACGGGGUGGUCCACCGCCGGUCCACGGGAACCGACGGCCCAGAUCAGCCCGAGCUGAUCGGGCGGCCACGGGGUGGCGCGGCUGAGCACGGGCACGGCUCAGGCCGGCCCGGCCGAGCGACGGCUCACGGCGGCGCGGCCUCCUGCGGCGACGGCCGACGCACGCGGGAAAGCGGCGGCGCGUCGCGGCAAGGGGAUCCGGGCGGCCUAGGCGAGCGGGGCGGCGACAAGCCGGCCGGCCGACCUAACGGCGGCGGCGCACGGCCCGGUGGUCGCCGGUGGCGGCCACCGGCGUGGCAGCACGCACGGGAGACAGAGGAGGGAGGCAAGGAGGGAGAGGAGGAGCUCACCAAGGACGCGACGACGAGGGGCGGGGAAAGACGGGGGAGCUCGGCGUCGGCGCUCCUCAGGACGAAGGCGGAACGGCGGCCCGGCGGCGUAGGGUGGAGGUGGCUUGGGAUGCACGGUGGAAGGGUGGUUGCGGCGAUUAAAUGGGGAAACAGAUCAGAGGCCGGGGUGCGGCGAGGCACGGAGAAGCCGGCGGUGCAAACAGCACGGCGCGGCAGUGGCUAGGGCGGCGGCUAGAGGUGGCCGGGGCUCGCCGGGGACCGAUGGAGAGAGGGAGCACGGUGGAGAGGUUGUUCGCGUGGUGGAAGGGGAGGAAGAAACGGCGGCCGAGCGUGCCCUUGAGGUGGCAAAGCCAGCGGUGGUGGCGGAGCAGUGCGGCGGCGACCCUAGCGACGGGAAACGGCGGCCGGAGUUCGCCGGAGUGUGGCGGCGCGCGGGAGCGGCGUGGGGAGAGCGAGGGAGAGAGUGCCGGGCCCGGGAAACAAGGGGAAAUGGACGAGGGGAGCACGGGGGUGCUUUUUAUGGGCUCGGGAAGGCGGGAUCGAGGCCGGACGUGGCGGAAUCGGCCGGCGAAGUGGGGCGCCGACGUGGGGUGGUGGAGGGGUUAACCGGCGCCGAUUUUCGCGGGGAGAGUGGGGGGGAAAAGGUGGAGGAGGUGGAGGGGAUCAAUUUCACGCGCUCGUGGGGCGGGGUGGAGCGCGGGAGCCGCGGCGUCGUGGGGCGAAACCGGCGGCCAUGGCGGCAGUUGGGGCGACGGGAGGUUGGGGAAGAAGAUGACAGGUGGGGCCUCAGGUCCCACCUGUCGGGGAGAGAGAGGGGAAAACGGGCGAGGGAGGUAAAGCAGACUUGAGGGAGGAGGCCGGCCCGAGAGGGAGAGAAAAGGGGCGCGCGGGCCGCGGGAGAGAAGGAAGACUUGGGCCGAAAAGGGGCCCAAAGAGAGGAAGGAGGAUUUUAUUUGUUUUCUUUUUAUUUUAAUUGAUGCAAUGAUCUUUGUGCUAUUAAAACUAUUUCUCGAGCUCCGAAAAUUCACAGGAAAAUUCCGGAGAGUACAUUAGGGCACAAAGAAUAUUACAAAAUAUUUCCGGCCAAUAAAUUUUAAAGGGAAAAUUUUAAUUCUCCCAAUAAUUCACUUGAUUAAGUUGAUUUAACUUUUAUUUAAUUUCUAGAAGAUGUAUUAUUAAUUGAUUUUUAUUCCCGAACGAAAAUCGGGGCGUUACAACAGGGACCCUCUCCAGCUCUAUAAUAGAAGAAACUUAUCAUCUUAUACACAUUGCAGCAAGGGAUCUAGAUAAGAACAUAGGAAUAGGGUGUUACGCUUCCGAGUAGUCCAAACCCAUAUAAACCACAUGUCUCCCUCUGAUUCUCACGUAAAAGAACUUUUGUGCAUACCUACACCCUGGCCGAAUCAAAAAGAGGAGUAUCACUACUCCCCGCUAUUCACAACCCCCUCUACACACAACAUCAACUAUUCGCAGUGCACUUAUAAUUGGUAUAAGAGCUUUUAAGCUCUCCAAUUGAUCUUUCACAUGGCACUAUAAUAUAAGUUGUCAAUCUUUUUCAGAAUUUUUCAUGAUAAAGAAAAAAUUUAGCCAAGUGCAUUGAAGUGGUGGGGGAGGGGGGGGGGGGGGCUCCCGCAGCCCAUUGGCAUGAAGGCCACAAAAAGCACACAUCCCAGAACCAAGCCAAAGACAGGCAGACACCAAAACAGAUGUCACGCCCGGAAAUUCACUAGUAAUUUCCGAACUUAUUUGUGCAUAAAAUCCUCGUCCAGGAAUCAGCCGAGGUACACAAACUGACAAUUUAAUAUACAGAUUCAUCAAUAACUAAAGCGAAUAAAUACUUACUUAAGAGGCACUUAGUCCUCAACAUGAAGAAAACUGCAGCGGAAAAUAAAAUCUAGCGAAGCUCCAGCUCCACUCCCACAGGCAGCUCAACUGGGGUAUAAGCCAAACGUCUUCUCCUUCUGGAUCCUUUUUCUUCAACUGAGGUUGAUUGAUUAUUGCAAGGUGAGCAUAUGACAUACUCAGCAAGCCACACAGCAAAUAUGCAAGUGCACAAGGAUACCAAAGGAUGGCAUAAUAUUGGCUCAUUUGCAAAAGCAGCAUUUAGCAAAACAUUUAAGAGAAGUAAAACAGUGGAGUAAUUCAUCAGGAAUUUUAAUCAACACUGAACAGCACACCCAUGCUGCACAGGCCCAACCAUCCUGAACAACCAUACCCGGCUGUACAGAUCUAAUCUCCAAACCAGGAGCUAAGCAAAUUAUUAUCAGGUAUAACAUCCAUAAUUAUUGUGAGAGGUGUGGGACUAAUCACGAAAAACAUUGCUCAACUCGCCCAUAACCGCGGGCACGGCUAUUCGAAUAGUUUUACUCUGGCCAGAGGUGUACCACUGUACCCACAAGACACAGCCUCAACAUCAUGUCUACCAUGCGUCGCGAUACUGGAAAGUACCCGAAUAGAGGCUGUGACAAUACCCUCUGCAUAACACAACUCACCACAGUGCACCAUUCCUGGAUCAUAAUCACCCCCUUAUAAAACAAGGCAUGGACUCUCCAGCGACCCCCGUGGGCUUAUCUCCGCCACUUCUCAGUCUGGUGCUCCGCAAUGAAUCAUGUUAUACAAAAGGUAAAGCCGUUGCCCACGCUGGCUUGUGGUUGGCACGGUUAAUGUUUCACAACAGUAGCUCGCGAACCGGUCCUUAAUUGUCAUAAGCACGACUCUCAAAACCAUGUGCUCACAACCCACCAUUAUCAAGUUUUAGUUGGCAAGUAAUUAAUUAACCAAUCACGAUUGACCAUCGUGAGCUACCAUUAAACAUAACCAUAAGUGAUAGUGAAACAUUAGUUAUCCCAAUUGUGUGCUAAUGUUUCUAAGCAUGGCUAAGCGAUCACAUCUAAUAUCUAGCUGAACCAAUAUAUAAAGCUCAACUAGUCAAAUUAUAAUAACCCAAGGUAUCAAGGAUUAAAGUAAUCAAUGCAAACAGGCCAUAACAAAGGAAUAGGUUCACACCACCCAGUGACAUUCGAAAAUAAAUGCACAGUUGAAAUAAAUAGAGAAUUUAAAUAUAGGAUCAACAUGCUCAAAGGAUUGUGUUUAGGAUCUGUGUGACUUGCCUUGCAAUAAUCGGUCUUCAAUUAAUCUUCUUGAAUACUUCCGGCGCACUCGCGAACCUUCGCAACGACGGAAACGACAAGCUAUCACGCAAAACGAGGAAAAAGACUAAUAAAAACCAAAUAAACAAUACAUAAAAAGUAAACAAACAUGUAGAUCAUAUUUUUAGAUGAAUUAUGAGACUUGAACGGCCUCAUUCUGACUUCAAAUGAAUUUAUUAUAAAUUUUACAAGAUUAAAUCUAAUUAAAGCCCAUUUAAAAAGAAUUAAAUAAAUUUAAUUCAAUUUAUGGACAAUUUUAAUAUGUAGAUCUUUAUUUUAUACAACUUUUGCAACUUGAACCACAUUAAACUGAGUUAAGAUGAAUUAGUUAUGAAUUUUUAAAGAUUAAAUCGGAUUAAAACCUUUAUAUAGAUUUUAAUUGAAUUAUGACGCAAUAAUGAAUUAUUUUUGAAAAGGAAAAGAAGGAUUAUUGCGUCAGCGGCUAGGGUUUCGGUGGACCGGGCGCACGGGCGACGGUUCACGGGAACAGACGGCCGAGAUCAACCCUAUCCAAAACGGACGGCUGAGAUCGAUCGGUCCACGACCGGCUCACGGAAGAAGGGACGAUGACGCCAGCGAUGACGUCACUGACAGCGGCGGCGGCUCGGCGGAGCGGACAGCUCGGGCGGCGCACGCUCGCCGGCGAACGGCGGCACUUCGGCACAAACGGAGGGCACCAGCACGUAGAGGACGACGCGGCGAACUCACCGGUGACCAAAACGGCGGCGGAAGACCAACGGACGGCGGCGGCGACGAGGAGGAAGCGGCGAAGCUCUUCGGGUCGACGACGGCGACGGCGCUCCGACGGUCUUCGGCGGCGGCGAAACGGUGGACGGGGACGGCGAUGACUUGGCGAACCCGAUGGUGGCGACGGCGACCGACGACGGCGACUGCAACGGCGGCGCGGCGCGGCUGAACCGACGGCAACGACGGCGGCGACUAGGGCUACGCGGAGGCGGCGCUAGACGCGACGGCAGGCUAAGGCAAAGGAGGCGACGGGUAGAGGGGAGGCGGCGGCAAAGGCCCACGGCGGCCGGCGACGAGAAGGAAAGCUCGCGGCUUGAAGGAAAGAGGCCGAUCCGAAUCGAACUCUAUUCCACGAACUUCCAAAACGAUUUAGCCGAUGUUUCCAAAGGAGAAAAGGUAGAGGAGAUCCCGGAGAUUGUUUCCCCUCAAUCAAUUCGGCCGGAGAAGGAAAGGAGCGGCCGGAUUUGGAAGGAAACGGCGACGGCGGCGCGCUAGGGUUUCGGGCGGCAGCAGCGGCUCGAGGAAGACGAACCUGACAAGUGGGGCCCACCUGUCAGCGGCUGAGAGAGAGAGGAGAGCGGCGGCUCGGCGGACUGGGCCGGCUGGGCCGAGGGAAAGAGAGAGAGAGGUUUUGGGCCGACUUUCGGCCCAAAGCCAAAAGAAGACUUUUUAAAACCUUUUUCAAUUAAAUUAUUUCUUAAAUGCAAUUCCAUUUAUUAAAAAUACUUCCUUAGCUCAAAUAAAUCCCAGAAAAAUCUAGGAAUUAUAGAAUUAAGCAAAGUAUUUAAUGAAAUUUUAUCUGGCCCCUUUUUAUAUUGAGAUUUAGCAAAUUAAAAUUAGAUCUUCUCUUUUAGGCUUUUAAAAUCAUUUCUAAUAAUUCCUUUUAAACAACAAUUUAUAAGUUAAGGAUUUUUAAACAAGAAAAGCUCUUAACAAUUAUACUUAGAUCAUUAAUGAUCAAAUAAUUACUAAACUGUUCUUUGUAUUAUUUAAGAAUUGAGCUCUGAAAAAAUCCGAGAAAAUUUCAGAGAGUUGACUUAACCAUGGAGAAUUUAACAAAAAUUAAAUCCAUCCAUGCUUUAGAUUUAAGAAAUUUCAUUUCCCACAUUUUACUUCACUUGAAAAUUAAAGAUCAUUUAAUAUAAAUUCUAUUAAUAAUUUAUUAAAUAAUUUAUAAAUCCUGAAACGAAAAUCAGGAUGUGACAACAGAACAUCAACAUUGUCAGGAAGAUCAUCGAAAUUCAUAUUCUCACGCUUUUAUGAUCACUGAAAAUCAUAUUUUCACGCUUUUAUGAUCACUGAAAAUCAUAUUUUCAUUGCAUGACCCUUAAAAAAGUAUUCAACCCACUCGUCAUCUCGAAGGCCUCAUAGUAAUUUAGCAUUAAUACAUGAAUUAAAAGAGUUGUUAUCUAAGAAAGGUUAAGAUUUUCUUUACCUGUAGUAGCGUUCAGAACAAAGAAACAUGCCAUAGGGAUAGGCUCUGGCGGUGGCCGGGCGACCGGGAGACGCUGACCGAUCCUCAACCUCUGAAUUGGCUAUGGAUGGAGUCCUUCUCCAAUCUGCUAUGGAAGUCUGCAGGGGCUACGCCUGCUAUCCGGUUGAGCCGGGAGGAAUCAGGAUCUGAUACGAGAUUGAACUCUGCCCUUGGGUUCUUCGUGUUCUUUCUGAGAACUAUAUGCAACUCUUGGAAAGAUAUACAUGGGCCUGAAGGAUUUAGCCCUUCUUUUGAAGUCCGAAUCAAACUUGAUGUACCUCAGAUUGGUAACCUAAGGUUGUUUUGGAGUUAUGAUUGGUGGAGAUCGGAUUGGUCUGAUAUCGUGCGGGUAAGGGACUUGUUGCUGAAACUCUUUUUAAGGGACGGAUCGGUGGUGCGGCAAACGCAGGUUGCAAUCUCCCAGAAGCCAAGUUCUCUAGAUCGAUUCUCUGUUCGUCCUCAAGGUUUCGGUUCUACUUCAAUGGUGUCCGCAGGCGGUGGGGGUGACAAAGGGAUCAUCAAGGCGAUGAUUACCCACCCGAAGCCGUCUGAGGAGGCUCUGAUUGUGCCGACGAACAAAUCCUUAGUUCUGCAGGAUUCGAUGGUGAGAACAGAUUUGCCACCCGGAGCAAAAGUGGAUCCCAAAGUGAAGACUAUUGUGCAGAGAUUGUUGUCAACGUUAGAGCAUGAAGGGGCUAGAUCCCAAUCCUAGCCACAGGGACUAGAGGCCUUUACAUAAGGGGAAAUUGAAGGGGAAGAAGAUAAGGUGGUUGAAGUGAAUAUUGAGGAAGAGGAGUUGAAGCAGGCAGGGCAGUGAACAAUGUUGGCUCGUUUCUACUCUCUUAAAGUGCCGAAACAGAGUGCUCUCUUUGAUGACAUGGGUCGAGCGUGGAGGCUGCGGUCUGAUAUGAGCUAUAAGUCCCUACGUGAUAACCUGUUUAUCAUUACAUUCAGCACGGAAGGGGAUUAUAACUUUGUUCUCCAAGGGGGGGGGGUCCCUGGCUACACAAAGGAGAUGCUUUAUUGGUAGCUGCUUUUCCUGACAUGCCCCUCAAAAGUUCCAUUGGAAGUGGUUCCUAUAUGGAUCAGAAUAUACGAUCUUCCGUUAGCCCUGAUGAUAAAAGCUAGAGGUCAGUUGUAUGGCAGUCGGUUUGGUCAUGUGAGGAAGGUUGAUGUGGAAGAGGAUGGUCGCAAUAGGCAUGAUUUCUUCCGUAUUCGUGUGGACUUGCCAGUGAAGAAGCCUUUGAAAUCCAAGCUAGCAAUAAAAAUCAAUGCCCAGGGCACUGAAGUAGUCAUACGGUUCGAUGUUCGUUACAAGUGGAUUCCAUACUUUUGCUUCUGCUGUGGUUUUAUUGGACACUCGGAUAAGGAUUGUGAGAAAAAGGUUGCUAACAGUGAUGCCCCCUACCAGUUCUCUGAAGAAUUGCGGUGCUCCUUGCUGAAGGCAUAUGAGAGGAAGGUUAGCAAAGUCAAAGCAACGCAUUCUACCAUUGUACCUCGUAAGCUAGUUUUUCGGGGUGCAGGGAGUGCAAACUCCUCUUCGUCCAGGAAUGCUCAGGAGGAGAAGUGGGAUGAGGCUAUCCCACCAAGGGUGGAUGCACACGAUGGGUUUGAUACCAGGGAGGAAGCGGGGGAUGAACGGGUUGAUGAUCAGUUGGCUAGCCAGGCAAAUAAGCUUUCUGUUUCUGGCAAAUCUCAGGGAUAGCCUGUACAGGUGAAGGAUCCAAAGGAUAUCACGGUUUCUGCUAGUAGUCUGAAAGGAGAUAUGAUUCCUGCAAUUGCGAAUCUACAUCAACCUGCAUCCUUUUGGGAGACGUGGGCAGAAGAUACAACCAGUAUACUCAAGAGAAGAACUCCAGACCUAGUAGCAAUCAAGGAAACAGGAAGAGUUAAGCAGGCUCUUCUUCAAUUUGGGCAGGAGGAUACAGCCUCUAGGAAGGAUCAAGCUGAACCCAGCCUUCAAGGGAGGCAGCUUAAGCGUUUCAAGCAGGUUGAUACAGAUAAGCAGGAUUUGGAGGAUAUGGAAGCAACCAGCCCCGGGGUUGUUGGUAAAUUGGUGGGUCCUACGAUGGGAUCCCGCCAGGAGCAAUGAGUUGCUUAAGUUGGAACUGUCGUGGUAUCGGGAACGCCACGACAGUUCGAGAUCUGUGUGCCUUGGCUCGCGAGGCAGGAUCUAAGCUUGUGUUCCUUUGUGAGACCAGACAGAAAGUUGAUAAGAUGCGUCGUAUUCGUAAUAAGAUAGGUUUAAGGGGGUUUUGCUGGAGUUGAUUGUGAGGGUUUAAGUGGUGGUUUGGCUCUGUUUUGGGAUGAAUCGUUUCAUGUGGAAAUAAAAGAUAUGAAUGAAAGAUAUAUUGAUGCGUAUGUGCGCUUGUCUGUGGAUGAUCCUUUGUGGCAUGUUACAUUUGUGUAUGGUGAAACUAAAGUAGAGAACAGGCACCGGAUGUGGUCAUUAUUGAAUUUGCUAAGACAGUCAUCCAAUCUUCCCUGGCUGGUUAUGGGUGAUUUCAAUGAAACCUUGUGGCAAUUUGAACAUAUGUCCAGGAGACAAAGGAGUGAACCCCAGAUGCAUAGUGUCAGGGUUAUGGAUACCACAUACCUAAUACCUUCAAACCGCCAUGUCGACAACAGUUAGAUAGGCUACCCCACAUAUUGUACUGGUGUGAUUAUGGUGAAUAAGAGCAAUACCGGCUCCGGCCAACAGGAUGUAGGGUUAUUACCUGACAAUUCAGGGGCCCGAACCUGUAUAAAAAUCCUCGUCUCCAUCUCUUUUACCUCAGUCUCGCAUAUAUCUUAGCACCGACGAUCCCCAUACUAUUCAAAUACCAUAAUUGCGACAUCAAACGUCGACAGUGGCGCGCCAGGUAGGGGGAUUUUGGUGCUUCAGGGUUUCGAGGAGAUGGGUUUAAGAGAUGGAUUCUCCAAUAACAAGCUACUCAACGACUUCGGCUGUGGAGAUCUAACCUGACCAGAGCAUGUCUUCCGACGAGAUUGGAACCAUUAUCGUCAUCGACAACUUGGUCUAUCAAGAUCACCCAAGCCUCAAGAUACGCGGUGUACCAAAAGAUGUCAGAUCAUAUGAUGUCGAACGAGUACGCAAUAAGGUAAUUGGUAGAUGGGUUUCUCAAAUUGAUCUACAAAUUCCGUAGAUACAUCCGGUAUGUAUCUACAAAGGUACGCAAUAUUUUAUAUGCAAUUUAUCGUACCUAUUCAGAUGAUACAACAUUGUCAGAUCUAUAAUUUAUUAUGUUUACCUAGAGCAUGUUUUUUAUACAAUAUCUAUUGUGCGAGUGUUUCCGAUGUUAAGCCGACUACGGUCUAACACUGGGGGCUCGCUCUGUUUUUGUCUGUAUAAAUCAUGUUUGUUUACGGUUUACAUAAUGCCUGAUAUUUACAUCUGCUUGUUGUCUCCUGAUAAGACUAGAAGAUUCAUGCAGUUUUUCAAAUACAUACUCGAUAUUAUCUACUAUAUGUCUUGCCUUCUAGAAAAUAAUUUUCAGGAACAAUUGAGCAUUCGAGUAGGUUGUGGUCGAGUACACUCCAUUAUCGAGAACAUUCUUGACAAAUGCGGAGUCAUCGCACCCAACCUACCAACAAAGACCGACGACCUAUCUCACAGCACCAGCCAUGGCUGGACUACUCGAGAAAAGGUUGUCAACGGAUAAUUCCUCGCGAACGUCGUCGGCUUGAUCACCCGACAUGAUUGCGAACGGACAUCCGGAUAUGCUAUAAGUUGGGUAUGUGAGUCAUGCUGGCCACAUGAGAUACACAUGUAAUAAACCAACUCUAGCACUUUCAUUGGUGUUCGAGAGAUAAUUCUACUCGCUCACUGGUCCUCGCACCAGUACGUAGCAAUCUCUCGCACCGCAACUUCCAUUGGUGUUCGAGAGAUAAUUCUACUCGUUCGCUGGUCCUCGCACCAGUACGUAGCAAUCUCUCGCACCGCAACUUCCGUUGGUGUUCGAGAGAUAAUUAUACUCGCUCAUUGGUUCUCGCACCAGUACGUAGCAAUCUCUCGCACCGCAACUUCCAUUGGUGUUCGAGAGAUAAUUCUACUCGCUCGCUGGUUUUCUCGCACCAGUACGUAGCAAUCUCUCACACCGCAAACUUCCAUUGGUGUUCGAGAGAUAAUUCUACUCGCUCGCUGGUUCUCCAACCAGUACGUAGCAAUCUCUCACACCGCAAACUUCCAUUGGUGUUCGAGAGAUAAUUCUACUCGCUCGCUGGUUCCCGCACCAGUACGUAGCAAUCUCUCACACCGCAAGCUUCCAUUGGUGUUCGAGAGAUAAUUCUACUCACUCGCUGGUUCUCGCACCAGUACAUAGCAAUCUCUCACACCGCAAACUUCCAUUGGUGUUCGAGAGAUUAUUCUACUCGCUCGCUGGUUCUCCAACCAGUACGUAGCAAUCUCUCACACCGCAAACUUCCAUUGGUGUUCGAGAGAUAACUCUACUCGUUCGUUGGUCCUCGAACCAGUACGUAGCAAUCUCUCGCACCGCAACCUCCGUUGGUGGUUGUCACGCCCAGAAAUUCCCGAAUAGAAUUCCAAGCAGAAUGUGCAUUAAAAUCCCCGUCCAGGACCAGCCGGGGUACACAAACGACAAUGUUGACAUUCAGAUCCACGUCUUACAAACAUCAUAAAAGUCUUACAUAAAUGCAGCGGAAAGAAAGAAAGACAACAGGAGCUAAGCCUUGACUUGAACUGCAGCGGGAACACCACUCCACAGGCAUCCUCGACGGUACGGACAAAGCCUACUCCUCGGAGAAACCUUCAUCUGACCCGAACUCGAACUCUGGGGGUUGGGAAAAGAAGAGCAAGACUAAGUACUACCCACUGUACUCAGCAAGUCAUACCGGAAUAGGGGUAUGAUGCAGGGAAUCAUCAAAGAAGAGCUAAAGUGGUUCAUUUGCAUAAAGCGAGCAUUUAUAAACAGAGAUUGAAAGAUUUAAACAGUUGUAAUAAUUAAUUAAUAUUAACUAUCCACUGUCCAACGCUAACCCACGUUGCGACAGAACCAACCAUCCACCUAAACUAUCCAAAUUAAAGGAUUACACUAAGGUGAGACUAAUCACGGUGAAUCUGGUUGACCGCCCAUAACCGCGGGCACGGCUAUUCGAAUAGUUUUACUCUGAUCAGAGGUGUACAACUGUACCCACAAGACACAGCCCCACGACACGUUUCCGUGCGCCGACAUGUCACCACGACAUACCGGAAAGAGGCCGUGACAGGACCAUUCGCAUAACCCC
This 15858-nucleotide long non-coding RNA is filed under the name Oryza sativa (Asian cultivated rice). RNAcentral describes it as "long non-coding RNA (OSAT_LNC000964)". Lineage: Eukaryota; Viridiplantae; Streptophyta; Magnoliopsida; Poales; Poaceae. The record is from RNAcentral.